Molecule: ribosomal RNA, 492 nt
Filed under: uncultured bacterium
Lineage: Bacteria
Description: partial 16S ribosomal RNA
Rfam family: Bacterial small subunit ribosomal RNA
Source: RNAcentral
AGUGAACGCUGGCGGUAGGCCUAACACAUGCAAGUCGAACGGCAGCACAGUAAGAGCUUGCUCUUACGGGUGGCGAGUGGCGGACGGGUGAGGAAUACAUCGGACUCUACUUUUUCGUGGGGGAUAACGUAGGUAAACUUACGCUAAUACCGCAUACGACCUACGGGUGAAAGCAGGGGAUCUUCGCACCUUGCGCGAUUGAAUGAGCCGAUGUCGGAUUAGCUAGUUGGCGGGGUAAAGGCCCACCAAGGCGACGAUCCGUAGCUGGUCUGAGAGGAUGAUCAGCCACACUGGAACUGAGACACGGUCCAGACUCCUACGGGAGGCAGCAGUGGGGAAUAUUGGACAAUGGGCGCAAGCCUGAUCCAGCCAUACCGCGUGGGUGAAGAAGGCCUUCGGGUUGUAAAGCCCUUUUGUUGGGAAAGAAAAGCAGCAGGUUAAUACCCCGCUGUUCUGACGGUACCCAAAGAAUAAGCACCGGCUAACUUCGUG